GCACGGCCCCAUCCAUCAGGUGCCUCCUGUAACCACCGACUUGAUUAAAACUCGAGCCGGGGAGAGAGAGACCCGCCUCGGUGCCGGGGCCGGGCUCAGCAGGAGCGGCUGCGUAAUUUAUCCCGAAACGGCGGCGGCCCACACAUGGUCGCUUCAUUUCAUGUUUGGCUGCUGCCGGGUCUUCAUUUAUAGAUGCUGUAAACAGGUUGACGGGCCCUAAUUAACUGAUUUGUGGGCCUUUGAGAGCAAAUGGUUAUUAAUAUUCGCAAAUAUUUGCAACGCUCAGGCACAUGCCCGGCCCUGACAUGAUCGUACUGUGUCCUCGACUGCGUGCACCUGUGAGUUCUGGUUUGUCUCUUGCUGGUGGACGCCGGCGGGCGUUGUCAGCUGCUGAUGGCCCCUUGCCAGGACGCCCGGCCGUCUCUCCAUCACGGCUUUAGCCCAAGAUCUGCCAACUACAACUUACUGGAUUUUCCACACUCCUUUCUUCUCCCUGGGUGUCCUGGGCCCAGCUCUCCUCAGUCCCACCCUGGAGUCUCCUUGAGACAAGCUGAGAGCUCCCUCCUCUGGGAAGCCUUCCCGGAUUGACCUCUCCCUAUGGCGACGCUAUCUCUCUAUCUCAGAGUCACCUGGCGUGGUGUUAAUCGUUUACAGGAGGAUCGGUUGCUUAAUAUCUUUAGGUUAUUUUAUCCAAGAGUGUUCUGCCUCAUGAGUGUUUCCUAAAAAUCGCAACAAAUCAGUUUCUCCCUUUUGCAGUGGAGUCCCGUCUUUCGCGAAGUCGGUUGUACGGUGAAAAAUAACAACCCAGACAGCAGUAGCUGGCGUCUCCCGGGCUCUUUAUCCCACGCCCGGCGCUGUGUUGAGUAUCUCACCUGCUCCUCUCUGUCGACUGUCUCGCCACAGCCCUGUGAGGUUUUUAUAUAAAGUGUGGAGCUCGAGGAGAGGCACCGUCCAAGUGCCUGCCAGCCCAGGACUCCACACCAGAGCACCUUCGACACUUGACGGCCUGCCCUGUCACGAAGCCUUCCAGUGACACAGUGGCCCCUUGUGUCCAGGGCAUCGUCCACCAGCUUCUGGACAUUUGAAUUACAUUCUGUUGGGGGUGGGGCGCUUGCUCACAGGAUUUUCGUCUCCUCUUAAGCAUCAUGGGACCGUCGGUUCCGACCACACAGCCUCCAGCCAGGUCUGCGCGGAGCCCCAGGGAUGGCGGCACACUCUUCUCUGGAAAACAGCAGGGUGGCACCCGCGGCUGGGCCCGGCUUCGGCCCUACAAUCACCAGACAAAGUGAACACCCAGUGGGGGACCCGCUGAGUGCAUUCGAGCCCCACAAUCACACUCCGCGUGUGUGAUGAGCCCACUGGAGUGGCCCUUGGCAACGGGGACACAGGAGGGAAGAGCAGGUCCACCUGCUGUCCCCACUCCGGCCAGGCAGGGGCCGUGACAGGGCGGGGCCGGCUGGAUUAUUUACAUUCGUUUAAACAUUAGUCGAAUGCUAAUUAUUAUCAUUACAGUUACAUCAUGUUUGUUAUAAAACUCAAGAA
This 1542-nucleotide long non-coding RNA is filed under the name Equus caballus (horse). RNAcentral's name for it is "lncRNA (ENSECAG00000045819.1)". Lineage: Eukaryota; Metazoa; Chordata; Mammalia; Perissodactyla; Equidae. The record is from RNAcentral.